Peromyscus leucopus (white-footed mouse) is the source of this 550-nucleotide long non-coding RNA. RefSeq lists it as uncharacterized. The transcript is spliced from 2 exons. The record is from RefSeq and is a predicted model, not a curated record. Lineage: Eukaryota; Metazoa; Chordata; Mammalia; Rodentia; Cricetidae.
AAAGAUUUAUACAGUGAAAGGCUUUUCUCUGUCUGUUAAGGGGUGUUUUUUUUCUUUGAUUCCCCAAGCUCAUCCCUAUGAGAAUUUUUCAAACCCAAAAAGGGAAAAGAAAGCCCAUAGUUGAACAUAAAAAAUUCUUAGGCAUUUAAUAUAUGACUACAUUUAUAAGUAUAAUAUCUAUAUAUUCUAUAUCUAUAAGUACAUUGUAAAGCAGUAGUUCUUCAGAUUAUUUUGCUUACUAAAAUAGCUGUCAAAUAUCAAACAGUUAAGUAUCUACAGAAAGACAUAUAUACCUAUGCUAUACUUAGUAUUUGCUAUUUGUAUUAGUAUCCAUUUGAAUAGUAUCCACAUUCUAAUCACACAUACAAAUAACAUAAAUCCAUAAUGUCCUUGUGCUCACACAUCCAAAUACACACACACACACACAGACACACACACACACACACACACACACACACACACACACACACUUACCUGGUCUGUGCAGGUGGUGCUGCUGGAAGGUGUGCUGGAGGGAUCCAUGGCAGAGCAGCAUGGCACACGCACUUAU